UAAAAAGCUCGUAGUUGGAUUUCGGGGCGGCCCGGCCGGUCCGCCGCAAGGCGAGUACUGGUCGGGCGCCCUUCCUCUCGAAGGCUUCGACUGCUCUUGAUUGUGGUGGUCGAGGAGUUCGGGACGUUUACUUUGAAAAAAUUAGAGUGUUCAAGGCAGGCCGUGGCCUGAAUACAUUAGCAUGGAAUAAUGGAAGAGGACCUCGGUCCUAUUUUGUUGGUUUCCAGGGCCGAAGUAAUGAUUGAGAGGGACAGUUGGGGGCAUUCGUAUUUAAUUGUCAGAGGUGAAAUUCUCGGAUUUAUGAAAGACGAACAAGUGCGAAAGCAUUUGCCAAGGAUGUUUUCAUUAAUCAAGAACGAAAGUUGGGGGUUCGAAGACGAUCAGAUACCGUCGUAGUCCCAACCAUAAACUAUGCCGACUAGGGAUCGGCGGAUGUUAGCGUCUGACUCCGUCGGCACCUUACGAGAAAUCAAGAGUCUUUGGGUUCCGGGGGG
RNAcentral lists this ribosomal RNA (494 nucleotides) under Geodia neptuni. Its description in RNAcentral is "SSU rRNA". It matches the Rfam family "Eukaryotic small subunit ribosomal RNA", at positions 620 to 1121 of the family's 1831-position model. The record is from RNAcentral. Lineage: Eukaryota; Metazoa; Porifera; Demospongiae; Tetractinellida; Geodiidae.